GAAAACAAGCAGAAGCAUCCCGCUUCUCGCCUAAGUUGACAAGGGUCCUUGGGCUGAUAGGAAAUGUUCAAGUUUUAAAAAGACAUUGGCAGCGGGAGUAUUCGAUUACUUCCGUUGCUUUUUUGCUUU
Molecule: regulatory RNA element, 129 nt
Organism: Granulicatella adiacens ATCC 49175
Lineage: Bacteria; Bacillati; Bacillota; Bacilli; Lactobacillales; Carnobacteriaceae
Rfam family: Ribosomal protein L20 leader
About the family: This family is a putative r-protein leader autoregulatory structure found in B. subtilis and other low-GC Gram-positive bacteria. It is located in the 5' untranslated regions of mRNAs encoding initiation factor 3 followed by ribosomal proteins L35 and L20 (infC-rpmI-rplT). A Rho-independent transcription terminator structure that is probably involved in regulation is included at the 3' end.
Source: Rfam